UGCCACAGCCAUAUCACCCUGCAGCCCAAGACUGGUUGCCCACUGAAGCUAAGCAGGGCUGAGCCUGGUCAGUACCUGGAUGGGAGACCUCCUGGGAAAGCUAUGUUGCUGCUGGAA
Molecule: ribosomal RNA, 117 nt
Filed under: Sinocyclocheilus anshuiensis
Lineage: Eukaryota; Metazoa; Chordata; Actinopteri; Cypriniformes; Cyprinidae
Source: RNAcentral